Molecule: ribosomal RNA, 914 nt
Filed under: uncultured Aneurinibacillus sp.
Lineage: Bacteria; Bacillati; Bacillota; Bacilli; Caryophanales; Paenibacillaceae
Description: bacterial SSU rRNA
Rfam family: Bacterial small subunit ribosomal RNA
Source: RNAcentral
GGCUCAGGACGAACGCUGGCGGCGUGCCUAAUACAUGCAAGUCUAGCGAACCGAUGGAGUGCUUGCAUUCCUGAGGUUAGCGGCGGACGGGUGAGUAACACGUAGGCAACCUGCCUGUACGACCGGGAUAACUCCGGGAAACCGGAGCUAAUACCGGAUAGGAUGCCGAACCGCAUGGUUCGGCAUGGAAAGGCCUUUGAGCCGCGUACAGAUGGGCCUGCGGCGCAUUAGCUAGUUGGUGGGGUAACGGCCUACCAAGGCGACGAUGCGUAGCCGACCUGAGAGGGUGAACGGCCACACUGGGACUGAGACACGGCCCAGACUCCUACGGGAGGCAGCAGUAGGGAAUCUUCCGCAAUGGACGAAAGUCUGACGGAGCAACGCCGCGUGAGUGAGGAAGGUCUUCGGAUCGUAAAACUCUGUUGUCAGGGAAGAACCGCCGGGAUGACCUCCCGGUCUGACGGUACCUGACGAGAAAGCCCCGGCUAACUACGUGCCAGCAGCCGCGGUAAUACGUAGGGGGCAAGCGUUUGUCCGGAAUUAUUGGGCGUAAAGCGCGCGCAGGCGGCUUCUUAAAGUCAGGUGUGAAAGCCCACGGCUCAACCGUGGAGGGCCAUCUGAAACUGGGGAGCUUGAGUGCAGGAGAGGAGAGCGGGAAUUCCACGUGUAGCGGUUGAAAUGCGUAGAGAUGUGGAAGGAACACCAGGUGGCGAAGGCGGCUCUCUGGCCCUGUAACUGACGCUGAGGCGCGAAAGUCGUGGGGAAGCAACCAGGAUUAAAUACCCCUGUUAGUCCACGCCGUAACCGAUGAGUGCUAGGUGUUGGGGAGGUUCACCUCCUCAGUGCCGCAGCUUACGCAAUAGGCACUCCGCCUGGGGAAGUUACGGCCGCAAGGCUGAAACUCAAAGGAAUUG